AUGGUCCAAUCACAGCGUUCUAUCGGUUUAACUGUCCAAUCACAGCGUUCUAUCGGUUUAACGGUCCAAUCACAGCAUUCUAUCGGUUUAACGGUCCAAUCACAGCAUUCUAUCGGUUUAACGGUCCAAUCACAGCGUUCUAUCGGUUUAACGGUCCAAUCACAGCGUUCUAUCGGUUUAACGGUCCAAUCACAGCGUUCUAUCGGUUUAACGGUCCAAUCACAGCGUUCUAUCGGUUUAACGGUCCAAUCACAGCGCUAUGUUGGUUUAAUCAUCCAAUCACAGCGCUAUGUUGGUGGUCCAAUCACAGCGCUAUGUUGGUGGUCCAAUCACAGCGCUAUGUUGGUUUAA
RNAcentral lists this long non-coding RNA (351 nucleotides) under Nothobranchius furzeri (turquoise killifish). RNAcentral describes it as "lncRNA (ENSNFUG00015014675.1)". The record is from RNAcentral. Lineage: Eukaryota; Metazoa; Chordata; Actinopteri; Cyprinodontiformes; Nothobranchiidae.